GUUAUAUGGUCAAGCGAUUAAGCGCAUACGGUGGAUGCCUUGGCAGCCAGAGGCGAUGAAGGACGUGAUAGCCUGCGAUAAGCGUUGGCGAGGUGGCAAAUACCCUGCGACCCAACGAUUUCCGAAUGGGGAAACCCACUCACCAUCAGGUGAGUAUCUAUAGGCCAAUACAUAACCUAUAGAGGCAAACCCGGGGAACUGAAACAUCUAAGUACCCGGAGGAAAAGAAA
RNAcentral lists this ribosomal RNA (230 nucleotides) under Cobetia sp. UCD-24C. RNAcentral describes it as "partial 23S ribosomal RNA". It matches the Rfam family "Bacterial large subunit ribosomal RNA", at positions 1 to 224 of the family's 2925-position model. Lineage: Bacteria; Pseudomonadati; Pseudomonadota; Gammaproteobacteria; Oceanospirillales; Halomonadaceae. The record is from RNAcentral.